CGCAUAUUCCCUCCGUUCUAAAAUUCUUGUCUUAAGUUUGUCUAAAGAUGAAUGUAUCUAAAUACUAAAACAUGACUAGAUUCAUUUAUAUCUAGACAAAUUUAAGACAAGAAUUUUGAAACAGAGGAAGUAUGUG
This is a non-coding RNA of Hordeum vulgare subsp. vulgare (domesticated barley), 136 nucleotides long. The record is from Rfam. Lineage: Eukaryota; Viridiplantae; Streptophyta; Magnoliopsida; Poales; Poaceae.